AGAAUCAACGCUGGCGGCGUGCCUAACACAUGCAAGUCGAACGAGAAAGUGGGAGCAAUCCCACGAGUAAAGUGGCGCACGGGUGAGUAACACGUGACUAACCUACCCUUGAGUGGGGGAUAACCUAGGGAAAACCUGGGCUAAUACCGCAUAAUACCUUCGGGUCAAAGGAGCAAUUCGCUUAAGGAGGGGUCGCGGCCGAUUAGUUAGUUGGCGGGGUAAUGGCCCACCAAGACUGUGAUCGGUAUCC
This 250-nucleotide ribosomal RNA is filed under the name uncultured bacterium. RNAcentral describes it as "partial small subunit ribosomal RNA". It matches the Rfam family "Bacterial small subunit ribosomal RNA", at positions 26 to 288 of the family's 1533-position model. The record is from RNAcentral.